GCCGUCGUAGCUCAGUGGUAGAGCGCAUCCUUGGUAAGGCUGAGGUCGGGAGUUCAAUCCUCCCCGACGGCACCA
RNAcentral lists this transfer RNA (75 nucleotides) under Hyphomonadaceae bacterium. RNAcentral's name for it is "tRNA-Thr". It matches the Rfam family "tRNA". From Rfam's summary of the family: Transfer RNA (tRNA) molecules are approximately 80 nucleotides in length. Lineage: Bacteria; Pseudomonadati; Pseudomonadota; Alphaproteobacteria; Hyphomonadales; Hyphomonadaceae. The record is from RNAcentral.